RNAcentral lists this ribosomal RNA (253 nucleotides) under uncultured bacterium. RNAcentral's name for it is "partial 16S ribosomal RNA". It matches the Rfam family "Bacterial small subunit ribosomal RNA", at positions 524 to 776 of the family's 1533-position model. The record is from RNAcentral.
UACGGAGGGGCGAGCGUUGUCCGAAUUUAUUGGGCGUAAAGCGCGUGUAGGCGGAUGGACAAGCCUGAGGUGAAAGGUUGGGGCUCAACCCCAUACAGUGCCUUGGGGACUGUUCGUCUGGAGGCCGGCAGAGGAGAGUGGAAUUCCUGGUGUAGCGGUGGAAUGCGUAGAGAUCAGGAAGAACACCCAUGGCGAAGGCAGCUCUCUGGGCCGGUACUGACGCUGAGACGCGAAAGCGCGGGGAGCGAACGGG